This 270-nucleotide unclassified non-coding RNA is filed under the name Hevea brasiliensis (rubber tree). The record is from RNAcentral. Lineage: Eukaryota; Viridiplantae; Streptophyta; Magnoliopsida; Malpighiales; Euphorbiaceae.
UGCUGGGUUUUCUCCGGAGUUGCUUCCAGUUGCGCCGGCGGUGAUUAGGAAGAAGAGGUUACAAGAGAACAACAAUAACAACAACACCAUGACGGUUGGUGCUGGAAUCACUUUAUCCGAUGCUAAUUUGACAGUGUUGGGAAAUCGGGUUUUGUCCGAUGUUCAUAAUAACAUCACGCUCACGGCGGCGCCGGGCGGUGGCGUAAUGAACGGCGCCUUCAUCGGAGUUCAAUCUGAUCAGAUCGGUUCCCGACGAGUUUUUCCUGUUGG